Molecule: ribosomal RNA, 498 nt
Filed under: uncultured Glomeromycotina
Lineage: Eukaryota; Fungi; Glomeromycota
Description: partial small subunit ribosomal RNA
Rfam family: Eukaryotic small subunit ribosomal RNA
Source: RNAcentral
CCAAUAGCGUAUAUUAAAGUUGUUGCAGUUAAAAAGCUCGUAGUUGAAUUUCGGGAUCAAUAUGUUGGUCGUGCCUUGGUACGUACUAGUUUAUUGGUUUCUUCCUUCUGACGAACCAUGAUGUCAUUAAUUUGGUGUCUUGGGGAAUCAGGACUGUUACUUUGAAAAAAUUAGAGUGUUUAAAGCAGGCUCACGCUUGAAUACAUUAGCAUGGAAUAAUGAAAUAGGACGUUUGAUUCUAUUUUGUUGGUUUCUAGGAUCGACGUAAUGAUUAAUAGGGAUAGUUGGGGGCAUUAGUAUUCAUUUGUCAACGAUGAAAUUCUUGGAUUUAUUGAAGACUAACUACUGCGAAAGCAUUUGCCAAGGAUGUUUUCAUUAAUCAAGAACGAAAGUUAGGAGAUCGAAGACGCUCAAAUACCGUCGUAGUCUUAACCAUAAACUAUGCCGACUAGGGAUCGGAUGAUGUUAAUUUUUUAAUGACUCAUUCGGCGCCUUACG